AGCAGCCGCGGUAAUUCCAGCUCCAAUAGCGUAUAUUAAAGUUGUUGCAGUUAAAAAGCUCGUAGUUGAAUUUCGGGAUUUGUCAGUUGGUCGGGCUUCACUGUUCGUACUGAUUUGAUGGAUUCUUACCUUCUGAAUAACCAGCAUGCUAUUAAGUUAGUGCGUUGGGGAAGCAGAUCUAUUACCUUGAAAAAUUAGAGUGCUUAAAGCGGGCUAGUGCUUGAAUAGAUUAGCAUGGAAUAAUAAAAUAGGACGGCAUGGUUCUAUUUUGUUGGUUUCUAGGAUCACCGUAAUGAUUAAUAGGGAUAGUUGGGGGCAUUAGUAUUCAAUUGUCAGAGGUGAAAUUCUUGGAUUUAUUGAAGACUAACUUCUGCGAAAGCAUUUGCCAAGGAUGUUUUCAUUAAUCAAGAACGAAAGUUAGGGGAUCGAAGACGAUCAGAUACCGUCGUAGUCUUAACCAUAAACUAUGCCGACUAGGAAUCGGACGAUGUUAAUUUUUAAUGAACU
RNAcentral lists this ribosomal RNA (507 nucleotides) under uncultured Acaulospora. RNAcentral describes it as "SSU rRNA". It matches the Rfam family "Eukaryotic small subunit ribosomal RNA", at positions 569 to 1076 of the family's 1831-position model. The record is from RNAcentral. Lineage: Eukaryota; Fungi; Glomeromycota; Glomeromycetes; Diversisporales; Acaulosporaceae.